Molecule: non-coding RNA, 837 nt
Organism: Zonotrichia albicollis (white-throated sparrow)
Lineage: Eukaryota; Metazoa; Chordata; Aves; Passeriformes; Passerellidae
Source: RefSeq, a predicted model, not a curated record
GCCCUGUGCUCCCAAGGCUGCCUGCGGGGAAGGGAGAUCCCCUGGCGGAGCCGGGAGCGGCGGUUCUUGCCGUUGUGCAGGGCUCUGCAUCAAGGGACAUAGCAUGUAGCCACCCUUUUGGAUGGACCAAGGCGGCGGCCUCAUCAGUCCAGCCAUCCCUCUUUUCUACGUGCUGUGCGCGGCCGGCCAUCGUUCAGCAAUCCCGCAUACACACCGGCUCUCCACCGCCAGGGGUUGGUCACUUACACGUGGCGGCCGUCUCCUGUAGGUCAGCUGCAGCUCGUGUGAACAUGGAGGCCCCUGUUAAAAAUCAUGCACCAAGGUGGAAUUUCACUGGAGUUCUGAGAGAGUAUCCCUUAUGCUUUUUCUUUAUAUUUUCUCAAGCCUAUUUAUUGUUCACUGCUUUCAAGAUCUAACUGUGUUCAUAUCAGCAUUGAACAGAAAUUUGCUUUUCUGAUAAUCUUCUAUCAUGAUGCCAGAGAUCACCAAAGAGUUAUCUUACUACUGGAAAAAUAUUCCGUUGUUUGAGUACUGGUAAAACAAACUGACAGAAUAUAGAAACAGCAGAAUGAAGCAACUCAGCCUACUGUGUUUUUGAGUGAAAGAUACUAUUCUGGCCUUGAAUUUUAUGAUUAAAAGUACCCCAUGUGUAUGAGUUUGCCACUUUUGAAUAAAUCCCACAGAAUGGUGAUAAUAAUAGAUGCAUUAGACUUGCAUUUCAGCUUCCACCCCACAUUAGCUACCAAAAUUCUAUUUUGAGUUUGUGCUGCUGCUUCUGUCUAAACAUUCACUCUGUACUUGAUACCUUCAUGCUGAAACAAACUAAAGCUGUUCAUG